CCGCGAUAGGUCAAGAUUUCUGGAAUGGAUCCUGGCUUAAAUCUACAUGGCCCCUGGAUUGGACUGCGGCCGAUCAGGCUGUUGGUGAGGUAAUGGCCCACCAAACCUAUAACCGGUACGGGCUCUGAGAGGAGAAGCCCGGAGAUGGGCACUGAGACAAGGGCCCAGGCCCUAUGGGGCGCAGCAGGCGCGAAACCUCUGCAAUGGGCGAAAGCCUGACAGGGUUACUCUGAGUGAUUUCCGUUAAGGAGACCUUUUAGCACCUCUAAAAAUGGUGCAGAAUAAGGGGUGGGCAAGUCUGGUGUCAGCCGCCGCGGUAAUACCAGCACCCCGAGUGGUCGGGACGAUUAUUGGGCCUAAAGCAUCCGUAGCCGGUUGUGCAAGUCCUCCGUUAAAUCCAGCCGCUCAACGGAUGGGCUGCGGAGGAUACUACAGGACUAGGAGGCGGGAGAGGCAAGCGGUACUUAGUGGGUAGGGGUAAAAUCCCUUGAUCCAUUGAAGACCACCAGUGGCGAAGGCGGCUUGCCAGAACGCGCUCGACGGUGAGGGAUGAAAGCUGGGGGAGCAAACCGGAUUAGAUACCCGGGUAGUCCCAGCUGUAAACGAUGCAGACUCGGUGAUGGGCUAGCCUCGUGUCAGCCCAGUGCCGCAGGGAAGCCGUUAAGUCUGCCGCC
This 674-nucleotide ribosomal RNA is filed under the name uncultured archaeon. RNAcentral's name for it is "bacterial SSU rRNA". It matches the Rfam family "Archaeal small subunit ribosomal RNA", at positions 151 to 828 of the family's 1478-position model. The record is from RNAcentral.